Molecule: ribosomal RNA, 253 nt
Filed under: uncultured bacterium
Lineage: Bacteria
Description: partial 16S ribosomal RNA
Rfam family: Bacterial small subunit ribosomal RNA
Source: RNAcentral
UACAGAGGUGGCAAGCGUUGUUCGGAAUUACUGGGCGUAAAGGGCGCGUAGGCGCCUUCUAAGUCAGACGUGAAAUCCCCGGGCUUAACCUGGGAACUGCGUUUGAAACUGGAAGGCUUGAGUGUGGCAGAGGGGGGUGGAAUUCCACGUGUAGCAGUGAAAUGCGUAGAGAUGUGGAGGAACACCGAUGGCGAAGGCAGCCCCCUGGGCUAACACUGACGCUCGAUGCACGAAAGCGUGGGGAGCAAACAGG